This 229-nucleotide ribosomal RNA is filed under the name uncultured bacterium. Its description in RNAcentral is "partial 16S ribosomal RNA". It matches the Rfam family "Bacterial small subunit ribosomal RNA", at positions 568 to 796 of the family's 1533-position model. The record is from RNAcentral.
UGCGUAGGCGGGCUAAUAAGUCAGUGGUGAAAUCUCUCGGCUCAACCGGGAAACUGCCAUUGAUACUGUUAGUCUUGAGUCCGGUUGAGGUAGGCGGAAUGUGUAAUGUAGCGGUGAAAUGCUUAGAUAUUACACAGAACACCAAUUGCGUAGGCAGCUUACUAGACCGACACUGACGCUGAGGCACGAAAGCGUGGGGAGCGAACAGGAUUAGAUACCCUGGUAGUCC